AGGAAUACAGAGAUCGCCAUGUGUGUACCUCAUUUGCAAGGAAAAUCAGCUAAACCAAACCAAACCCAGAUCUGAAGCUGGUUGAACCAGAAAACUUGAAUAAAAAUGAUUAAAAGUCGAGACCAAAUUGAAUGAAUCUCAACCCAAAAUUUCAGCAGAUAACAGCAGCUGAAUCAGUAAUUUCCUUCGUAUUAAUGAUGCAAACCCAGAAUCGAAAUUUUGGCUUGAAAAAAAAACUGAACAAUGACCGGAUCUAAAGGUGACCUCGCCGGAACCUCGAAACUCCAUCAACUUGGCUUAGUUUGGACUGUAGCUUCGCUUGUUGAAGAUCAAAAUAAGGAGCAUCAUCGGACAUUGAUUGGCUCUAAUUUGAAACAAACAAGUAACAGAAUAAGGGAGGAUUUUGUUUUCUUUUCCUUUUUGAAAUCCAAUUUCUUGCUUCUAUCUUUUCACACUUCCCUUAUGUCGUUUUUUUACACUUUUUGAAAUGAUGUCUAUUUCUCCUUCUUUCUGCCUAUGUGUGUGCAUUGAAGAAAAGCAAUAUUGAAAGGGUGAGGUCCCCCAUUCUUUUUUUUAUCUGAUUUUUCUAUAUCAAAAGGGAUACGCCAUUGUUC
Molecule: long non-coding RNA, 614 nt
Filed under: Nicotiana benthamiana
Lineage: Eukaryota; Viridiplantae; Streptophyta; Magnoliopsida; Solanales; Solanaceae
Description: long non-coding RNA (NBEN_LNC019829)
Source: RNAcentral